UGUAGAGAGAUUUACAAGGUGUA
Molecule: non-coding RNA, 23 nt
Filed under: Arabidopsis thaliana (thale cress)
Lineage: Eukaryota; Viridiplantae; Streptophyta; Magnoliopsida; Brassicales; Brassicaceae
Source: RNAcentral